RNAcentral lists this ribosomal RNA (497 nucleotides) under uncultured bacterium. RNAcentral describes it as "partial 16S ribosomal RNA". It matches the Rfam family "Bacterial small subunit ribosomal RNA", at positions 28 to 507 of the family's 1533-position model. The record is from RNAcentral.
GAUGAACGCUGGCGGCGUGCCUAAUGCAUGCAAGUCGAGCGAACGGACGAGAAGCUUGCUUCUCUGAUGUUAGCGGCGGACGGGUGAGUAACACGUGGAUAACCUACCUAUAGGACUGGGAUAACUUCGGGAAACCGGAGCUAAUACCGGAUAAUAUUUUGAACCGCAUGGUUCAAAAGUGAAAGACGGUCUUGCUGUCACUUAUAGAUGGAUCCGCGCUGCAUUAGCUAGUUGGUAAGGUAACGGCUUACCAAGGCAACGAUGCAUAGCCGACCUGAGAGGGUGAUCGGCCACACUGGAACUGAGACACGGUCCAGACUCCUACGGGAGGCAGCAGUAGGGAAUCUUCCGCAAUGGGCGAAAGCCUGACGGAGCAACGCCGCGUGAGUGAUGAAGGUCUUCGGAUCGUAAAACUCUGUUAUUAGGGAAGAACAUAUGUGUAAGUAACUGUGCACAUCUUGACGGUACCUAAUCAGAAAGCCACGGCUAACUACGUG